This 1012-nucleotide long non-coding RNA is filed under the name Helianthus annuus (common sunflower). Lineage: Eukaryota; Viridiplantae; Streptophyta; Magnoliopsida; Asterales; Asteraceae. The record is from RNAcentral.
ACGUGCCGGCAGAGGCAGUGGCGGAUCGCCGUUUUCCUCCGCCCUACGCAGCUUCUUCUCUUAUCGGAUCUUCGUCUCCGCUAUGUUUACUCUUCUCUUCUUCGCAACUGCUUCCGUACUCUUCUCAUCGCAUCCUGCACAUUUGUCUGAUGAUACUUCGGGGAAUGAAAUAGAAAGUUGCCUCAAGAGAAGCUUGAGAAAAGCUUCACCGGAAAAUGAGUGACCUUCAAGAGAAGCUUAAUGAAAAGCUUUCAAUUAUUUGAUUCUAUUAACUACGUAUUGCCAUCAUCUAAUUCAUGAUUUAAAUGGCUGUUGAAUGGUUUAGAAAAAGUGACAACAGGUCCCAACAUUGCUGAUGCUAUUGUAGGAAGAAUUGCUAAGGGAACCAAAGUUCUUUUAGGUGGAUAUGAUAAAAUAUUUAGAACAACAUUCCAAUUUCCAAACCAUUCCUGAGGAAGCACUUCUGGGGAAUUCGAUCACUGCUAAUGCAUCCGACCAACUUCCUUUCACUCCUCAAGACCUAUAGAGCUUCUUUUCACUCCUCAAGACCUAUAGUCUCGAUCAUGGUCUCAAUUUACGAAAACUGGAAGCAUUCACGCCCAAGGGAUAACUUAUUUAAUGUAGUUGAAGUCUUCACUAAUUCAUCUAAGUUUAAAAUGUUCACACUUGUGCACUUGCUAAAGAAGUGGAUGUUAAUAGUUCAACUCACCUAGCGGGUCAGAUUGCAUCUGGUAGCAACAAAUUAGAGGCAGGUCCAAUCUGGGCAAAUUGUUUUUGCUAAACUCGCUUACCGGACAAUGUUGUGUUGUACAAACAUCAAACAAGCUUGGUCUCACUCAGAACCGUAAAGGGAAUUUGAUAGACGUAGAAGAUGUUGCCAGUGCUAAUGAAUUUGAACGCAAAGAUCACUCUGAUUGUUCAGUCUAAAGGGAAAUCACUAUUUAUUCAAAAAUGAGACAGAUGAUUCAUUAUUUGGUAUCUGGAGUUGAUUACGAGGCUCCUUAGGCUCUGC